RNAcentral lists this long non-coding RNA (639 nucleotides) under Homo sapiens (human). RNAcentral describes it as "non-protein coding lnc-C6orf47-2:2". The record is from RNAcentral. Lineage: Eukaryota; Metazoa; Chordata; Mammalia; Primates; Hominidae.
CCACAGGACAGCAGGUGCCAGGCUUCCCAACAGCUCCAACCCGGGUGGUGAUUGCCCGGCCCACUCCUCCACAGGCUCGGCCUUCCCAUCCUGGAGGGCCCCCAGUCUCUGGGACACUGCAGGGCGCCGGUCUGGGUACCAAUGCCUCGUUGGCCCAGAUGGUGAGCGGCCUUGUGGGGCAGCUUCUUAUGCAGCCAGUCCUUGUGGCUCAGGGGACCCCAGGUAUGGCUCCACCGCCAGCCCCUGCCACUGCUUCUGCCAGUGCUGGCACCACCAACACAGCUACCACAGCUGGCCCCGCUCCUGGGGGGCCUGCCCAGCCUCCACCCACCCCUCAACCCUCCAUGGCUGAUCUUCAGUUCUCUCAGCUUCUGGGGAACCUGCUAGGGCCUGCAGGGCCAGGGGCUGGAGGGUCUGGUGUGGCUUCUCCCACCAUCACUGUGGCGAUGCCUGGUGUCCCUGCCUUUCUCCAAGGCAUGACUGACUUCUUGCAGGUGAGUGGCUGGCUUGCCAUUCACCUCAUCUUCCUGUCCCCCGGCCCAGCCAGGCAGUGGUACCUUCUUGCCAUUAUAUAACCACUGGGUAAGAGCCCCUAGUGACAUGUUAGGGGAAGGGGCCCUGGGAAUUCAUUGACUCUGA